RNAcentral lists this ribosomal RNA (497 nucleotides) under uncultured bacterium. RNAcentral's name for it is "partial 16S ribosomal RNA". It matches the Rfam family "Bacterial small subunit ribosomal RNA", at positions 28 to 507 of the family's 1533-position model. The record is from RNAcentral.
GAUGAACGCUGGCGGCGUGCCUAAUACAUGCAAGUCGAGCGGACGGACGAGACGCUUGCUUUUCUGAUGUUAGCGGAGGACGGGUGAGAAACACGUGUAUACCCUACCUAUAAGACUGGGAUAACUUCGGGAAACCGGAGCUAAUCCCGGAUAAUAUUUUGAUCCGCAGGGUUCAAAAGUGAGAGACGGUCUUUCUGGCUCGUAUAGAGGGUUCCGCGCUGCAUUAGCUAGUUGUUCAGGUAACGGCUUACCAAGGCAACCAUGCAUAGCCGACCUGAGGGGGUGAUAGGCGACACUGGAAGUGAGACGGGCACCAGAGUCCUGCGGGAGGCAGCAGUAGGGAACCGUAGGCAAUGGGCGGAAGCAUGACGGAGCAAGGCCGAGUGAGAGACGACGGUGUUGGGAUCGUAAAACUGUGUUUUUAGGGGUAAACAGAUGUGUACGUAGACGAGGCGAUAGUGACGGUAACUAAUAAGAAAGCCACGGCUAACUACGUG